GUGUGCCUGUGGCUCAACUGGUAGAGCGUGGCACUAGCGACGCCAAGGUUGUGGGCUCGAUUCCCAGGGAACGCA
This 75-nucleotide transfer RNA is filed under the name Megalops atlanticus (tarpon). RNAcentral describes it as "tRNA-Ala". The record is from RNAcentral. Lineage: Eukaryota; Metazoa; Chordata; Actinopteri; Elopiformes; Megalopidae.